RNAcentral lists this long non-coding RNA (206 nucleotides) under Oryza brachyantha (malo sina). RNAcentral's name for it is "long non-coding RNA (OBRA_LNC000454)". Lineage: Eukaryota; Viridiplantae; Streptophyta; Magnoliopsida; Poales; Poaceae. The record is from RNAcentral.
AGGUGCCUCCGGGCUAGCCCUCGUCGAACGCAUGCACGCCACCGAGCCAGCCUCUGCCGCCGCACGUCGUUGCCGCUGCCGCCUCGCAUUAACGUCGCACGUCGCUGCUGCCGCCGCACGACGCCUUAACUCCCUCGCGCCAGCCGCUGCCGUCUCUGCAGCCGCCCGCGCACGUCGCAAUAACUCCACCACCGCGCCACCCCACC